This 18-nucleotide unclassified non-coding RNA is filed under the name Mus musculus (house mouse). RNAcentral's name for it is "oocyte_clustered_small_RNA12861". Lineage: Eukaryota; Metazoa; Chordata; Mammalia; Rodentia; Muridae. The record is from RNAcentral.
AGCUCCUCCAGUUGGGGG